GUCCGUCCCUCCGUCCGUCCGUCUGCGGCGCGUCCUCCUCCACAAGCCGCCUCAGGGCCGGCGGCGCGCUCCCGUCACCCGCCGCCUCAGAAUCCCAGUGGCCUCAAGGCUAGCAAGUUUGGGUGCUGCCGGUCCAGAAGAUCAGAGAAGGCCAGAGAUGGAGACCCUCCAGAGAGCCUCCUGCCAAUUCCCUGAAGAAACACCUCAUAGAUUGCAGCUGCUAUGAAUAACUAGAUCCUGGCAAAGAAAAGAGAAUCCAAGGGACUUGAUGGCAACUGAGUUUACUGUAAAUGGAACGACGAUGGCUAUCAGAAGAAAACAUUUAGAGGGACGUGGAAUGCUGAGGUCCUUUCCUGGUUACUCCAGGAUGCCUGGAUGACCUAUUGAGGCAUCAUCUUCAUCAUUUUGCUUAAUUCAGCACUGCGGAAGGUAGUACAUCUGAGUAGAACUUUGUUUCUAGUGGUUGCUGCAAUGCAAGGCUUAAGGGGUGGUUAUUGAAUUCCUCUGCUGACAAAUGACUUACUAGUUGAUAAUCAUUAUAGGACAGCAAUUACUUGUUCAGCCUCAGUUUAGAAAUCUGCUAAGUGUCCCCGUUGUUGGCGCCAUUUCCAACUCUCUGCUUCACCCCCACAGAUUUGAAAUUACCAUCAUUGGGGGGCAUUUUGUUUGGAUCUAAUAGCAGUUCAGUGUUUCCUCUUCACAAUAAGUGGUCAUUAGGCUCUAGAAGGAUUCUCAAGUAGUUAAGUUUUAAUAAUCAUAUGGUUCCCUCAUCAUGGGUUUGGUUUUGCUAUUACCAGUAGGUUCUCUGAGGACUGAUAGUCAGGACAUCAAUAUUUUGUAGUAUAACUUUUAUCUGGAAAACUCUUGCUUCCUUUUCUGCUUUGUCUCCUAUAUAAUGACUUUGAACGUCUUAUGAGUUUUCCUCCUGUACUAUUACUCUUUCAAAUAUUAUUAUUUGACUAAGUUCUACUUUAGAGGGGGAAUUAUAUUGAUAACAUUUCUGGAGUAAAAAUGCGCUUAUACCCCUCGACACCACUUUUUAUCAUCUUGGGCACUUUAGAAAUAAUGCUAUAGAAAGCCCAUUCGGUUGGCCGGUGGCACUUCCAUGGCUAAAUUUCAUAAGACAGAUGUCUCAUUCACAGAAAAAUCCUAUUACGUAGAGGAGAAUUUGAUAUUUAAGCUAAAUUCGCUUGUCUAAGGGCUUCUCUUUUUUGCAUUGAAGCUACUAGUGGCUUCAUCAAAAUCAAAUUUAAAGUGGCUGACAUGCGUGAUAAUAAUGAUGACUGCCAUCACUAUCCAUAUUUUGUGGUGUGAUGCUUAAUAGUAAAAACAUAAAAGCUAUUUGUACCUGAGUCUCAAAGUAUACUCAAGUCAGUUCAGCCAGUCCUCCUGAGGGAUUGUCCUAUUUCCAUAAGGAUAGACAGUGAUUAAGGCCACCGCUGGUAGAAACAGGCCAGAAUUUCUGCACAUUUAGCAGGUGAGGUAACUCGCCAUCCUUCCUCAAUUUGUCACCUUAUCCUCCAAGGAGGCAGUGGAUAAAAAAAAAAAACAAAACCCUGUGGACAAAACAAGCAUCACCAGGACACACUACAAUUUGCCGAGCUAUAAGAAAACGAAGAUUCUGGAUGCGGUUUAAUCAUAAAUAAUU
Molecule: long non-coding RNA, 1648 nt
Organism: Tachyglossus aculeatus (Australian echidna)
Lineage: Eukaryota; Metazoa; Chordata; Mammalia; Monotremata; Tachyglossidae
Exons: 5
Source: RefSeq, a predicted model, not a curated record